UAUAUAUAUAUAUGUAUUGUUGCGUCAGCGAGGUCACGUGACUAGUAUCACGCCACUUCUUUCUUGAACCUUCCCGAGAUUACUAGAUUGGCGGUAGUCGGGUAUAUACAAGAUGGUGACAACUUAAUGGGACAAUGUGUAGGUAGUGAGUAAUUGAUUUGCAGUCAGGGAGUAUUGUUGAAGUUAACGUUCGUUUUAGUGCGUAUGUUG
Limulus polyphemus (Atlantic horseshoe crab) is the source of this 210-nucleotide long non-coding RNA. RefSeq lists it as uncharacterized. NCBI's taxonomy places the organism in Eukaryota, Metazoa, Arthropoda, Merostomata, Xiphosura, Limulidae. The record is from RefSeq and is a predicted model, not a curated record. The transcript is spliced from 3 exons.